UGGGUUUGACAUGUACGUAGUAGUGAAGGGAAACUGGAACGAGCCUUCGGGCAGCGUACAC
Molecule: ribosomal RNA, 61 nt
Filed under: uncultured bacterium
Lineage: Bacteria
Description: partial 16S ribosomal RNA
Source: RNAcentral